This 253-nucleotide ribosomal RNA is filed under the name uncultured bacterium. RNAcentral's name for it is "partial 16S ribosomal RNA". It matches the Rfam family "Bacterial small subunit ribosomal RNA", at positions 524 to 776 of the family's 1533-position model. The record is from RNAcentral.
AACGUAGGUGGCGAGCGUUAUCCGGAUUUACUGGGCGUAAAGGGUGUGUAGGCGGAAGUCCAAGUGGUGUAUGAAAGCUCCCGGCUUAACCGGGAAGGGUUAUGCCAGACUGGACAUCUAGAGUGUGGGAGAGGGACGUGGAAUUCCGGGUGUAGUGGUAAAAUGCGUAGAGAUCCGGAGGAACACCAGAGGCGAAGGCGGCGUCCUGGCCCACAACUGACGCUCAUCCACGACAGCAUGGGGAGCGAACGGG